UACGAGGUAGAUAGGCAUGAGGUGUAAGCACAGUAAUGUGUUGAGCUGACAUGUACUAAUAGGUCAAGGGCUUAACCAA
This 79-nucleotide ribosomal RNA is filed under the name Lachnospiraceae bacterium. Its description in RNAcentral is "partial 23S ribosomal RNA". It matches the Rfam family "Bacterial large subunit ribosomal RNA", at positions 2846 to 2925 of the family's 2925-position model. The record is from RNAcentral. Lineage: Bacteria; Bacillati; Bacillota; Clostridia; Lachnospirales; Lachnospiraceae.